Non-coding RNA from Callithrix jacchus (white-tufted-ear marmoset), 3535 nucleotides. Lineage: Eukaryota; Metazoa; Chordata; Mammalia; Primates; Cebidae. The record is from RefSeq and is a predicted model, not a curated record.
CCGGCCUCUCCCGCCUGCGCCGCUCUCUGCGCUCUGCCGGGCGGGGGCCGACGGCGGCUCCGCCUCGCGCGCUUCCCAGGAGCGGCUUCCCCGGCCGGCGGGGCUCUGGCGCUGGCGGCGUGUUGCCUUUCCUCCGCCCUCCCCACCCGGCUGAUACCCGGAGACUGGGUCCCGGGGGUCCGGCUCCGGACAGAGGGCUGCUCUGGAGGCGCCGGGCACACCCAGGCAGGCCGGGCGGCGAGGAGUGCGGGCUGCGCUCCCACAGCGCGCGCCGGGCCCUUGGGGAGCGGAAAGGAUCAGCGAGAGCCGCUUCUUGCCCCGGGGCACCGCCAGUGCCUGGCACUCAGCGGGCGCGCAAUAAAUAUUUGUUGAAUGAAUGAGCAGUUGACCGCUGCCUUCAUCCCCUCCGGAAGCCAGACUCGGAGUAGACUGGAUCUCCCGAGACCACCGUUUAGAGCCUGGAAAGCAGAACGUUUAUCAGCCAGAGAACGAGUGCGAGGGAGGCGUUCUCCUCAGAAGUAUCGGGCCGUUUCCUAGGGGAUCCUCUGCAGGGAAGUUGUUUAGAAAGCCCUAAUUUGGAAGUCCUGUAUCAACAAACUCCGGGGACCACCCCCUCAACCCCAAGCUGAGGAAAUUUAGACCUCAUGCCCAGGGGAAAGUUCACCCCGAGACCUCCCUCUCCCAACCAGCCAGCAGCCCAGAGAGCAUCCCCGUCUGUUUUCCGUCACCGACUGCCUUUUCCUGAGGAAGAUCCCAAGGCUGGGGCUGCGGAUUUGAACUGUCUUGGGCUCCAGGUGGCGCCCUCUCUGGAGCUCCCCUCUAUGAAUUCACUGUUUCCUGGAGAAUGAAAAUCCAGGGUUUGUUCCACUACCUUGUUUAGAAGUAACAUUGCAACUGGAGUCAAUGACCAACUUAAUUACAUUCGUCAUCGAAGAAGAUGCCUCUAGAGAGAAAUUAUAUCCUCCUUGCAGUCUGCGAAGGUUUUCAAGCGUUUUUGGAACAUGCAAGAAAGGAAAACAAACGUAGUAAAGACAGGACUCACUUCUUUACACCUUCUUCAGCAACUUCUCCAUGUGGCCCCUUAAGAGAUAAAGCACUCUGCACUGGAUUAUAUGACCUGCCUGUUGUGGAUUCAGAGCUUCUCAAAGAUUUGCCGUGGACAGCACUUGAUUAAAUCCAGCUGUAAGUAGUUAAAAACCUAGGUUGCUGAGUUUCAAUCUGAAUGCAAGAACCACAGCCCAAUCACCUAGUACAGCUUAGGUUGGCAUCCAAAGCUGUGCAAUUGAUUGAUUGAUUGUGCGGCCAGCAUCCUACCUCUUGCCUGGAAAACCCUGCUUCAUAUGGGUGUGUGUGUGUGUUUGUGUGUUGUUGUAAUUUUAUUCCUUUUGAAAAAUUGUCGAAGCCAGUCGUGGUGGCUCAUGCCUGUAAUCCCAGCACUUUGGGAGGGUGAGGCAGGAGGAUCGCUUGAGUCUUGGAGUUCAAGGCCAGCCUCAGCAACAUGAUGAAACCACAUCUUUACAAAAACAUCCAAACUAGCAGGGCAUGGUCUUGCACCCCUGUAGUCUCAGCUACUCAGGGGGGCUGAGGCAGGAGGAUCUCUUAAUCCCAGAGGAUUGAGGCUGCAGUGAGCCAAGAUUGUGCCAGUGCACUCCAGCCUGGAUGACAGAGCGAGACCCUGCCUCUAAAUAAAUAAAUAAAAACUGGCAAAACCAUAACAUCAUAACCAUUUUUAAGUAUACAGUUAAGUAGUGUUUAGUAUAUUCACGUGUUUGUAUAACAUCUCUAGAACUUUUUCGUCUUACGCAACAGAAACUCUAUACUCAUUAAACCUCAUUCUUCCUCCCUGUUUCCACAGCCCUCUUCAAUCAUUGUUUAACUUUCUGUUUAUAUAAUUUUGACUACUCUAGAUAAGUCAUAUGAGUAAAAGCAUAUGAGAUUUGUCCUUUUGUGACCAGCUUAUUCUCUUGGGCAUAAUGUCCUUGAGGUUCAUCUAUGUUGUAGCAUGCGACAUGAUUCUCUUCCUUUUUAAGGAUGCAUAAUAUACCAUUGUAUGGAUAUACCACAUUUUGUUUAUCCAUUUGUCUGUUGAUGGACAUUUGUGUUGCUCCCACCUCUUGGUUAUUGUGAAUAAUAUUGAGAUGAACAUGGGUGUGUUGCUUUUACUAUGGAAAUCAAAACUACCAUAGUAAUGGGGAGUCUAGUAAUCUAGGGAGGGAGAAUGUAUGAAAACUGAGGCAGAAAGUUGGUGCUGGGCAGUAGCAGGCUAAGUAUCUCAGGAAGCCGCUUGUGUGGGAGAAUUCUUGGCUUACGUUGUCUGAACACUCGUACAUCUUAUUUAGGAAAAGCAGUUUGACUUUCUGCAUGACCUCUGGUUUAUAGAAAGGCAAUGUCUUAAUCUGUUCCUGCUGCUGUAACAGUACCUUAGGCGUGUUGUGGUGGCUCACACCUAUAAUCCUAGGUGACUGAGGCAAGAGGCUGAGACAGGAGGUUUGCUUGAGCCCAGGAGUUCGAGACCAGCCUGGGCAACAUAGUGAGAUCCUGUCUCUACCAAAAAUACAAAAGAAUUAGCUGGCUGUGGUGGCAUGCACCUGUAGUCCCAGCUACUCAGAAGGUUGAGGUGGAAGGGUUGCUUGAGCCCAGGAGGUCGAGGCUGCAGUGAGCCAUGAUCACAACUCUAUACUUCAGUCUGGACAACAGAGUGAGGCUCUGUCUCAAUAAACAAACAAACAAACAAACAGAAAAACAAAGUACCUUAAACUGGGUAAUCGCUCAUAUAAACAAUAGAAAUAUAUUGCAGUCAGGCAUGGUAGCUCACGCCUGUAAUUCCAGCACUCUGGGAGGCCGAGGUAGGUGGAUCACCUGAGGUCAGGAGUUUGAGAACAGCCUGGCCAAUAUGGUGAAACGCUGUCUCCACUAAAAAUACAAAAAUGAACUGGGUGUGGUGGUGUGUGCCUGUAAUCCCAGCUACUCAAGAGGCUGAGGCAGGAGAAUUGCUUGAACCCUGGAGGCAGAGGUUGCAGUGAGCCAAGAUUGUGCCAUUAUCCUCCAUCAUGGGCGACAAGAGUGAGACCCUGUCUCCAAAAAAGAAAAAAAAAAGAGAAAUGUAUUGCUCACAGGUCUGGGAGUUGGGACAGGGGAGCUCAGGCUUCUGCAGGCUCAGUGUCUGGUAGUGCUUGCUCUCUUCUUCAAAAAUGAUGCCUUCUUGCUGCAAGCAUCCUCCCGUGGCAGAAAGGCCCAGGGAACAUCCUCAAGCCUCUUAUUUAUUUAUUUAUUUAUUUUCCUUCAUUUUGUUUUUAUUAUAGCAUGUUUGCUUAAUUUACAGCAAGCAGAAAAUAAGCUGGGUCUUGUUUUGAUCCAAACAUUGAUGUUUUAAAGGUUGUACACAAUGUUUGUUAAAAAGAACAUAUAAAAAUAUGUUUUUAGAAGCCUCUAUAAGAAAGAAAAUACAAAGUUUAACCCCACAACUUUCCUCUUUUCUAGAACUGCAAACUACUGCUACAGUUUUAUAUAGACUUUUUGUUGUUUAAACUAUACA